Lactuca sativa (garden lettuce) is the source of this 1891-nucleotide non-coding RNA. The record is from RefSeq and is a predicted model, not a curated record. NCBI's taxonomy places the organism in Eukaryota, Viridiplantae, Streptophyta, Magnoliopsida, Asterales, Asteraceae.
UUAUUUUUAUUGAAUUAAAUUAUGAUUUUGUAUAACGAAACAUAUUAUAUAUAAUCAGGUUCAUUAGUAUCAAAUGUUUAAAGAAAUAAGUAAAAAAAUAUACUCCCUCCGUCCCAAUAUUAUUGUCCACAAACAAAAAACAUAAAAAUUAAAAAAAACAUUAAUUAACACUAAUUUUAUAUAAUAAAAUGACAGUUUUGUCCUUAUUUUGCAUUUAAUGUUCUAUUAAAUGCUUAAUUGGUUAAGUAAUAAUAAGGGGUAUUUUGGUAAAAAUGUUAUUUAUUUUUAGAAGUGGACUAUUAUUUUGGGACAAACCAAAAAGGAAAGAUUGACUAUAAUUUUGGGACGGAUGGAGUAAAAUACAAUAAUUUAUAGUGACACGUAUAUAAAGUAAAAAAGUUUAAAGUUAACAAACAGAAUUUCAAAUAAUCAAAAAUAUAUAAUAUAUGAAUCGACUCAUACAUGGAAAGUGUUUAUAAAAUUAGCACAAAAACAUAAAAACAAAAACAAAAACAAAAUUCCAUCAAAAUAUAGGCAAACUCAAAUUUAUAUCGACACGUAUGUAAAAAAAAACAAGUAAGUUUUUCUAAUUAACGAACGUAAGUUCUAAAUUUAAAUCGAAACAUUGACCGCUUCGAACAUGUCGAAUCUUUCUCAUCAUGGACACCUUAUUACCUCCUCAGGAUGAGCCAUUGUUGACACUUUAUUACUCAAGUUUGUUGCUUUAAACUGCUCGCAAAUUCAAAUUUUCAAGCAAUCUGCUUUUUUUAGCAAAUAGGUUUUCAAGCAAGAUUUUUCUUACCAUGAUAUGUGUCGUUGGCAAUGGAAGAGGUGGCGUUGGCGAGGUCGGAGGUAGUUGUGUGUGCCUGCUAAGAUGGAGGAGCAUAAGAAGGAAAAUAUGGGUGUCGCUUAAUUAGGGAAAAAGGAAAACACAAUUUAUUAUUUCAUUUGGAAUCUCCUUAGGUCUGAUCGAAUCAAAGCCUUGUUGGCCUAUUCAUGUGCGUAAAAAUAACAAACAAAACACUCUGAAUUAACAGAUUCAACGAGCCUCUUAAUAGAACCAUUAAGAUGCUCAACAAACAACCUCUUAGACGCUUUACAUGUUCACCUUUCGUGGUUUCUUUUCUGGUUUUUUUAAGGUCUUGCUUGAUAUUUUAUAUUUGCUAAAAAAGAACUUCACAAUCGGAAUUUUUGUAACACCCAAAAACUAAUAUGUCUUGAAACCAUCAAGAUUUUAUAUUUUUGCAUAAUUGGUCCCUUGAGUACGUUGGGCGUACCUAUGAGUACGCUUAGCGUACUCUGCAUGAAGGAUCGUGGAGGAGCCUUACGUACGCUGGGCAUACGUAAGGGUACGUCGGGCGUAUGCACCAGAGGGCUAAAACCCUAAAUAUCGGGCGUAUACACCUUUUAGCCUCUUGGACCAAACCUUAUCAGCCUCUUGAGCCUCUUUUCGUCUACCUUCAGCUGUGUUAUUGUGUGUGAGAGUUUUGAGCUUAAGGAGAGGGUUUUUGGUGGCCAUUUUAAAGUUCUUUCAAGAAGAGGAAGUGGUCUAGCAAGCUUGGGUCGGUUUGGUGCUUCAAGGAUCUGCAUCUUGGUCAUCUUGCAAAGCUCCUGGAGCAUGGGAGAUUACAGACUGUUAAGAGAGCAGCUUUUGUAUUUAGCAGACUGAGGUACAUCUGAGCCCAAGGGUAAGGGCAAGGCAUAAUGGCGCGGUGUGCACUCUAUCUCUCUUUCACUGAUAUGUUUGGGGAUACUCUGAUGAUUUAAAAAAAGAUGUAAUGAAUGUUGUUUUGAAAGCAAAUGUGUUUUGUUAAUUAAAAAUGAAAUUUUCCUUGAAAAUCUGGUUCGUUACAAUUUUUUUGCUGUGAAGAUAUCAAUUCCAAUCGAGCAU